This is a long non-coding RNA of Alosa alosa (allis shad), 374 nucleotides long. RefSeq lists it as uncharacterized. The transcript has 3 exons. The record is from RefSeq and is a predicted model, not a curated record. NCBI's taxonomy places the organism in Eukaryota, Metazoa, Chordata, Actinopteri, Clupeiformes, Clupeidae.
CUUCCGUCCAUUAUUAUGGCGUCCAGCUCCACCUCUCCCGCUGUAUUCUGCACGGCUCCGUGACCUGGUGAAGACAUUGCAUUCAGUUAUGCCAGCUCCAUCAAAGGAUGAUGUCUCCUUCAGAAAUAGAAAGAUCCCGAAACAUCAGACAUCCAGACCUCUUUCCUUAUUCAAACAGAGGGUCAUCGACCCAGGACUUGAACUACUUUUUCCAGACUUCACUUUGUGCAACCAGCUUUGAUGCAAUCUGAUGAUUACCUGGAGACCUCUCACCUCUAUUUGGGCCCGAUCGUUAAAGCAGAGUGUCAAGGGUGUCAAAUAAGAUACAGUCCUUUCCCAGACAAAACACGCUGUCAAGGAAAACCUGCCAGUUU